Pongo pygmaeus (Bornean orangutan) is the source of this 8572-nucleotide RNA transcript. It is a transcript of the gene named arylsulfatase family member J, with no coding region annotated. The record is from RefSeq and is a predicted model, not a curated record. The transcript has 5 exons. NCBI's taxonomy places the organism in Eukaryota, Metazoa, Chordata, Mammalia, Primates, Hominidae.
UACAUCCCUCUUCUGCCUUUGAGCAGGACUUUAAAACUCUAUGACUCUAGUAAAAUCAAGAGUAUUUUUACAACCAAGACGAGUUUUUACAAUGGUUUUACUCCACAUGGUAAAAAAGAAAGAAGGAAAAAAAUGAUGAAGCUCCCUGAAUUACUGGAUGGGAAACACUGGCUUCUUUAAUGCAGGAAUGCAGACUGGCUUCGCAGUUCUUGAAGGAGAAAUGCAUAACCUCUUCCUCUCCAUGCUUUUGGCUGGAGACACCCUGUGGCAGCUAGAAAAAGUUUGCAAGCGCAACUUUAGGGACAGGAGACGGGGCUCUUCACCAACAGACCCACGAAAAGAAGUGCCCGCUUCACCCUUCCCCAUUCGCGCCGCCCUCCUUUCCCUCUAGCGGGGUGAUGGGCAGGAGGCGACACUCUUGGGACGCGGUAGCCCAGGCGGAUCCCCCGGAAUCCCGUCGGGCUCGAGCAGCACGCAGCUCUCCCUCUGGCAAAGCCUCCUCUGCCUUGGCCAUCCACCUCCCGGAAAAGAAAAAGGAAAGAUCGAGCCUCUAAACCGUCCUUUUCCCCCUCCCCCUCUUCCCGGGGGAGCUAAGGAAGAAAGUACCGUUCUGUGAUUCACUGGAGAGAAAAGAGGGAGGAGGCAAAAGAACUCGGAGUGCCAAAGCUAAAUAAGUUAGCUGAGAAAACGCACGCAGCUUGCAGCGCCUGCGCCGGGUGCGCCAACUACGCAAAGACCAAGCGGGCUCCGCGCGGACCGGCGGCGCGGCUAGGCACCCGGCUUUGGCCUUCAGGAUCCCUAGCAGCCGCGAAAAGGAAUUGCUGCCCCGAGUUUCUGCAGAGGUGGAGGGAGAUCCGGAAACGGCUUCUUCCUCACUUCGCCACCUGGUGAGUGUCGGGGAGAUUGGCAAACGCCUAGGAAAGGACUGGGGAAAAUAGCCCUGGGAAAGUGGAGAAGGUGAUCAGCAGGCCGGUCCACUACGGCAGUUUAUCUGUCUGAUCAGAGCCAGACGCGACGCGUCCACUUGGCAGUUCUUUCCAGGUGUGGAGACCGCAGGACAGACGGCCGAUCCCGCCGCCCUCCGUACCAGCACUCCCAGGACAGUCAGCCUCGCUCCCCAACGUCCAGGGCGCUCUGGCCACGAAAAGUUCCUGUCCAGUGUGAUUUUCAAUUCCUUGCUUGGUUUUUUUCUCCAGAGAACUUUUGGGUGGAGAUAUUAACUUUUUUCUUUUUUUUCCUUGGUGGAAGCUGCUCUAGGGAGUGGGUAGGAGGAGGAGAAAGUGAAAUAUGCUGGAGAAGAGCGAGCCCUCCUUGUUCUUCCGGAGUCCCAUCCAUUAAGCCAUCACUUCUGGAAGAUUUAAGCUGUCGGACAUGGUGACAGCUGAGAGGAGAGGAGGAUUUCUUGCCAGGUGGAGAGUCUUCACCGUCUGUUGGGUGCAUGUGUGCGCCCGCAGCGGCGCGGGGCGCGUGGUUCUCCGCGUGGAGUCUCACCUGGGACCCGAGUGAAUGGCUCCCAGGGGCUGUGCGGGGCAUCCGCCUCCGCCUUCUCCACAGGCCUGGGUCUGUCCUGGAAAGAUGCUAGCAAUGGGGGCGCUGGCAGGAUUCUGGAUCCUCUGCCUCCUCACUUACGGUUACCUGUCCUGGGGCCAGGCCUUAGAAGAGGAGGAAGAAGGGGCCUUACUAGCUCAAGCUGGAGAGAGACUAGAGCCCAGAACAAAUUCCACCUCCCAGCCCCAUCUCAUUUUCAUCCUAGCGGAUGAUCAGGGAUUUAGAGAUGUGGGUUACCACGGAUCUGAGAUUAAAACACCCACUCUUGACAAGCUCGCUGCCGAAGGAGUUAAACUGGAGAACUACUAUGUCCAGCCUAUUUGCACACCAUCCAGGAGUCAGUUUAUUACUGGAAAGUAUCAGAUACACACCGGACUUCAACAUUCUAUCAUAAGACCUACCCAACCCAACUGUUUACCUCUGGACAAUGCCACCCUACCUCAGAAACUGAAGGAGGUUGGAUAUUCAACGCAUAUGGUCGGAAAAUGGCACUUGGGUUUUUACAGAAAAGAAUGCAUGCCCACCAGAAGAGGAUUUGAUACCUUUUUUGGUUCCCUUUUGGGAAGUGGGGAUUACUAUACACACUACAAAUGUGACAGUCCUGGGAUGUGUGGCUAUGACUUGUAUGAAAAUGACAAUGCUGCCUGGGACUAUGACAAUGGCAUAUACUCCACACAGAUGUACACUCAGAGAGUACAGCAAAUCUUAGCUUCCCAUAACCCCACAAAGCCUAUAUUUUUAUAUAUUGCCUAUCAAGCUGUUCAUUCACCACUGCAAGCUCCUGGCAGGUAUUUUGAACACUACCGAUCCAUUAUCAACAUAAAUAGGAGGAGAUAUGCUGCCAUGCUUUCCUGCUUAGAUGAAGCAAUCAACAACGUGACAUUGGCUCUAAAGACUUAUGGUUUCUAUAACAACAGCAUUAUCAUUUACUCUUCAGAUAAUGGUGGCCAGCCUACGGCAGGAGGGAGUAACUGGCCUCUCAGAGGUAGCAAAGGAACAUAUUGGGAAGGAGGGAUCCGGGCUGUAGGCUUUGUGCAUAGCCCACUUCUGAAAAACAAGGGAACAGUGUGUAAGGAACUUGUGCACAUCACUGACUGGUACCCCACUCUGAUUUCACUGGCUGAAGGACAGAUUGAUGAGGACAUUCAACUAGAUGGCUAUGAUAUCUGGGAGACCAUAAGUGAGGGUCUUCGCUCACCCCGAGUAGAUAUUUUGCAUAACAUUGACCCCAUAUACACCAAGGCAAAAAAUGGCUCCUGGGCAGCAGGCUAUGGGAUCUGGAACACUGCAAUCCAGUCAGCCAUUAGAGUGCAGCACUGGAAAUUGCUUACAGGAAAUCCUGGCUACAGCGACUGGGUCCCCCCUCAGUCUUUCAGCAACCUGGGACCGAACCGGUGGCACAAUGAACGGAUUACCUUGUCAACUGGCAAAAGUGUAUGGCUUUUCAACAUCACAGCCGACCCAUAUGAGAGGGUGGACCUAUCUAACAGGUAUCCAGGAAUCGUGAAGAAGCUCCUACGGAGGCUCUCACAGUUCAACAAAACUGCAGUGCCGGUCAGGUAUCCCCCCAAAGACCCCAGAAGUAACCCUAGGCUCAAUGGAGGGGUCUGGGGACCAUGGUAUAAAGAGGAAGCCAAGAAAAAGAAGCCAAGCAAAAAUCAGGCUGAGAAAAAGCAAAAGAAAAGCAAAAUAAAGAAGAAGAAACAGCAGAAAGCAGUCUCAGGUAAACCAGCAAAUUUGGCUCGAUAAUAUCGCUGGCCUAAGCGUCAGGCUUGUUUUCAUGCUGUGCCACUCCAGAGACUUCUGCCACCUGGCCGCCACACCGAAAACUGUCCUGCUCAGUGCCAAGGUGCUACUCUUGCAAGCCACGCUUAGAGAGAGUGGAGAUGUUUAUUUCUCUUGCCCCUUUAGAAAACGUGAAAUUCCUGGGACCUAAAUAUCCAGCCCCAAUACAUGUUAUAGAAGACUACCACCAGGGGACAUGCUAGCAGGUUUGUUUCAACAGGUUGAAGCUGAAUGUAAUUAAUUUUAUAAUUUUUAAUAGUUCAAAUCCAGUUUUUUUUAAUUAAAUUAUGAAACAAAGGUGAUGUCAAUAAUCAUAUUGAAUGUUAAGUGCAAUAAAAUCUGCAUAUGCACUGAAUUCAAAAUUGAGUCAUGUCCAAUAUUACAGUCUAACCUCAAUUCCUAUCAAAUAAAUUAAAAAAUAGUGGGUCCCAUAUUUAUUGCUUUCUGAUUAUAGGGUCUUCUACGGAGGUAACAUGAUUCCCCUUGAAUUCUUCUCCAUUGUUCUUAUCUUUGCAGUGACUAUCCUUGUAUUUCUCUGCAUUGCUCCACUCCACCCCAUCACUAUUUCCUCUGCCUAUUCAUCUCUCCCUGCUUCUCUGGCUCUUUUCUCUUUGUCAUCUUUAUUUUCCCUUCUCCCUCUUUCAGUAAUUAUAAUCUCUUUAAUAUUUUUAAAAACCAAACUCAUAUGUUGAAAUUAAUAAAUUAGAGUCUCUGUAUCUAUCGUUAAACAAUCUUUGGGCAAACUUUUAUACUAGGAUGCAUAUUUCCACAUAGCCACUUAUAUUCCAGCCUAAUCUAAGAGUGAAAAUGACUGUUGACCAGAAAUUAAUACUUUUACUAAUAGUCAAAAAUAGUGAUCAUAUUUCAACAAUAGAUAACUUUAUUUACUAUUACCAGAAAAAUUCUUAAUUAUCUUUGUGUGUAUAUAUUUAAUUAUAAUCACACUUGAUUGGAUUAGAGUUUCCAACUAAUUAUUGCUGUUAGUGGCUAUUAAAUAAGAAAAUGUGUUUGCAGCUCAAACAUUUGUCUUGUUAUGUUUCCUAGUGGAAAAAGGCAUAUACUGACAGGAUGCCAAUUUGUUUAAAGUGAAUUCAUGUUACUACCCUGCACAAUAAAAUAAUAUACAAGGCUGUGCUUUGUGAAUUAUGAGUUAUAUUAGUGAAUAUCAUUUCCUGAUUGCCUGCAUUUUUCCUAUUUUAUAUACAUGAUCAUUUUUGUAAGUAAAAUUAAUAUAAAAUUUAAAUACUUGUGAAUAAAGAUGUAGCACUGUUUUCUAUUAAACUACACUAAUCCUUUCAAGCAAAAAGUAGUUUAUUAAAUCAUAUUCUACUAAUAUGGUGUUGUUGCGUUUGUCAUAUUACCUAAUUAACACUGUGUUAUGGGAGAAUUUUUGUAGCAUAUAUUUUGAAUUAUUUUUAAUUGUCUUAAGAUAACUGAAUUUGAAGAAAUAAUAGCUAUUUGUUAUCUAACUUCACUUGUAAAUUUUGCCUACUCAGUCUUACUAAAAACAAAGUAAAAAUUUUAAUAAACUUCAGGCUAUUAAUAUACUAUAUUUCUCCUUUUCCCUCUAACCACCUUCUGACCAUUAUUUCUACUAUAAAUUAUUUUGUUUUCUUUACAAUUCAGAAAUAAAUCUUGCUUUUCAUCAAGAUUUAUUUGUUGUGAACAAUUCAUUAUGAAACAAUACUGUGAAAAAUGUUCUAAUUUCCUUAUAACUUGUUAUUAAUGCUAAUUUACUCCAUGAUUUAUUUAACCUUUAAAGCAUCUUUCUCUUUUGACAUUUAUCUUUAAAAUCCCUUUGUAAGCAGCUGUUUACUGAGAUGAAGCAUUUUAUUAGCUUAUUUGGAUGCUGUACAUGCUCAUGAAAUACUGCCAAAUAAAUCCUUGAAAAUUUACCUGGGAGUUGCUGUCUUUUCUCUUACACUAAAAAGUAUUGUCUAUACAUUUCUGAAACCUGACUUCUAAAGUCUGUCAUUUCAAUUAACUAUUCUCAAAUGAUCUAACGUGCCUUUAUCCUAGAGAAUGUACUGUUAGUAGUGUUCCUAUUAUUAUUUAUUUUUUCUUUAGAGAACUUUGAAGUAUCCUUCAAGAUACGAUUCUACUAUAGCUCUUAUAAAUAAUAGCAAUAGGGUCAAAUUUGUCCUAUUUUAGUCAUUCACCUAGCUCUCACCUCACAUUCACAGCAUGAGUUGUCUUUGAAAUUCUCUAGUAGCAGGGAUUAAGCCAGCAUUACAGAAUGAACUCCAUAUAAUUGUGUGUGAAAAGAGAGAAAAUGCCAAUUACAUAAAAACAUCAAUAACUUCAUUUCAUUUAUUUUGCUCCCUUUCUCCAGAUCAAACAGGCAAUCUUGAUAUAUAAGAGAAACCAAAAUAGGAAGCUAGAGGCUUCAUGUUGCUGGUAUCCUCUACAGAGAAAAAAAACAACAACAAAACACCAAUGUUUUAUUAGUCAGACCAGGUUUUUCGGGGUUUUUUUAAGAUGAGAAAAAUGACAACUUUGCAGGAAAGCUGUGGUGCUCUUAGACCAGCCAUUUGUACAGCGGCUUAGUUUUCUACAAAAAGAGAGAGUUGGACUAAAUCAAAACAAGGCAGCAAAAGGCAAAAUUGAUUUUUCACAAAUCAUAGUGUUUAAAAAUAGAUGUCACUGAUCCCCUCGAGCUUGAUGCAUCCCAUCUGAGUCCCACCUGAGACUAACCUCAUCCUUUGGCUGUAGGUGGUUAACAGAGCAACAAAGAAUAAAGAGCCUGAAAUCAAUCAAAUGAUGAGUUCAACCUUACCUCUCCUCUCAAUACCUCACACUUAUUCUCCAGCCUGGAGAGACUCAUAGCCAGGGAAGUUGCUGUACCUAUGUGUUUAUAAAAAUAUAAAAUGAAAAGUACCUAAGUGCAAAUUAUGGUAGAAUAUUAUUGCUAAUAAUAGAAAUAUAUUAUUCUUACUUAUCAUAGUUAAUGAAAGUACAGUUGCUAACAGACAUAUUUAAACAUCAUGUUAAACACAUUACUGUAUAAGAGGCAUUAGCUUAAAGUCAUUAAAGCUUAUGAGUAGAUUAAAAUGUUUUUAAAACUGCUAUAGGUGACUAAUCAAAGUUACUGGGAGUCAAAUUUCCGCUCAGAAUAAGAAAGAACUUUCUAGCAAAACUGCAGCUUUCAGUGGAAUGUGGUGUCAUCUGAAGACAAUGUGUUUCCUCAUACUGAAAGAAACCUAAUAGAAGUAGAAUCAUUGUAUGCCUGGAAGAUAUCCAGUCUCCACAUGCUAAUAAACUAGAGAAGCAUCCAGAGCGUAGACUGCUGUGAGACCUUGAGUCAAAAGCCGCCUUACACAAGCAACCAGAAAAAAAUGAGCUCCCACUGUUUCCAGUUGGAAAUGCAGAAAUCACCCGUCUUCUACCUUGAUCUCGCUGGGAGCUGCAGACCGGAGCUGUUCCUAUUCAGCCAUCUUGGAAGCCCCAACCACUUUUUAAUUUGAGCUUUUUCCAUUUUUUAUAUGGUUUGGCUGUGUCUCCACCCAAAUCUCAUCUUGAAUUGUAGUUCUUAUAAUCCCCAUGUGUCAUGGAAGGGAUCGGGUGGGGGUAAUUGAAUCAUGGUGGCAGUUACGUCCAUGCUGUUCUCAUGAUAGUGAGUGAAUUCUCAUGAGAUCAGAUGGCUUUAUAAAAAGCUUUCCCCCCAACUUUGCUCUGCACUUCUCCUUGCUGCUGCCAUGUGAAGAAGGACAUGUUUGCUUCCCCUUCUGCGAUGAUUGUAAGUUUCCUGAGGCUUCCCCAGCCCUGCAGAACUGUGAAUCAAUUAAACCUCUUUCCUUUAUAAAUUAUCCUGUUUAGGGUAUUUCUUCAUAGGAGUGUAAGAACGAACUAAUACAGUUUCUGUUUUUGGAGUUUUUUUUUUUUUUUAUGGAGUUUCACUUUUGUUGCCCAGGCUGGAGUGCAGUGACGCAAUCUCAGCCACUGCAACCUCUGCCUCCCAGGUUCAAGUAAUUCUCCUGCCUCAGCCUCCCAGGUAGCUGGGAUUGCAGGCACCCACCACCAUGCCCAGCUAAUUUUUUGGAUUUUUAGUAGAGACACGGUUUCACCAUGUUGACCAGGCUAGUCUCAAACUCCUGACCUCAGGUGAUCCUCCCGCCUCAGCCUCCCAAAAUGCUGGGAUAACAGGUGUGAGCCCUGGUGCCCCGCCUGAUACAGUUUUAUAAUGGAAUCAUGUCUGCUUUAACAGACAACUUCUUUGAAUUUAAUUUAAUCAUUUUUAUUUUCUUUUCUGAUGUUACCUCAUACACUGGGCCCUGAGAAGCCUUCUCACAGCCCAGGGCCUCCUCCCCAGCCUUGCCCUUUUCCAUGUCACCUCUGAUAUUGCUAAAAGUAUUCUUGUUUUUGAUAACAUCAAGAUAUUUAAAGCCCAUUCUUAUUUAUCUGAUCUUAAAACAUUGAAUCAGCUAUACUUCAAAAAGCCCAGGUUUUUAGGAAUAAAGAAUAUGAGAAACCAUGAUAUUGACAUUAGCUUAUACAUCAAACUCUUCCAAGACUAUAGGUGGCAGGAAGAGGGACACCAGAUGACCCAAGAAGUGUCUGCUUGAAUCAUUAAAGCAUGUUGAACAUUGGAAUAGGAAAGUAUGUUCACAAAUAACAUAAUGAUGUACAAUAUUUUAGCUUUUCCAAAAUGAUAAAAAAUGAACAAAAGUGAACUUUUAUGACAGUAAUGUUUUUUAGCCUAUUGAAAUGAAUCAUAUACGUCCACUAGAGUUUUCUGGAAAAGAAGAAUAGGAAAUCAGUUAACAAUAGUGUUUGCCAAAAAAGAAUUCUGCAUUCCUCUUUUAUAUAUUCAAACCUGAAGAAUGCAACUUGAGGAACUUAAAUUAAGAUUUGUUUCUUUCCAUGAAUGAUAGGGUUUUUAAAUAGGUGGGUUGGGAAAGACAUCCUAUGCAUUUUAAUCAGUUAAUUACUUUAGAAAAAAAAUGCAAAAUUAAUAAUUGAGGGAACCAAGAUCUCAGGUGACAAUCUAAAAUUCUGUGGUCAUAAGUAAUAUCCCACCACAAAGAUAAGUCAACCCUUGCGUUUUUAUCACCACACAACAGUUAAAAUCUAAGCCUCUGUCACAUCAAUUAUCUGGCCAAAUAGCCAGUGGAAAAGUAAAAGGUCAAAGUAAUUUGAAAAGAGUUUCACGAAUGUUUGCUUUUGAAUAAUACAUAAGGUAACAGGUAUUUUCAAAAUGAAGCUCUAGGAAUGUAUCUUGAAGACACAGUUCUUCCAUAAA